CCUACGGGUGGCAGCAGUGGGGAAUAUUGCACAAUGGGGGAAACCCUGAUGCAGCGACGCCGCGUGAGUGAAGAAGUAAUUCGGUAUGUAAAGCUCUAUCAGCAGGGAAGAAACAGACGGUACCUGAGUAAGAAGCCCCGGCUAAAUACGUGCCAGCAGCCGCGGUAAUACGUAGGGGGCAAGCGUUAUCCGGAUUUACUGGGGGUAAAGGGAGCGUAGACGGCGAAGAAAGUCUGAAGUGAAAGCCCGCGGAUUAACCGCGGGACUGCUUUGGAAACUUGUUUGCUGGAGUACCGGAGAGGUAAGCGGAAUUCCUAGUGUAGCGGUGAAAUGCGUAGAUAUUAGGAGGAACACCAGUGGCGAAGGCGGCUUACUGGAUGGUAACUGACGUUGAGGCUCGAAAGCGUGGGGAGCAAACAGGAUUAGAUACCCGAGUAGUC
Molecule: ribosomal RNA, 440 nt
Filed under: uncultured bacterium
Lineage: Bacteria
Description: partial 16S ribosomal RNA
Rfam family: Bacterial small subunit ribosomal RNA
Source: RNAcentral